RNAcentral lists this microRNA precursor (126 nucleotides) under Myotis brandtii (Brandt's bat). Its description in RNAcentral is "mir-9193 microRNA precursor family". It matches the Rfam family "mir-9193 microRNA precursor family". The record is from Rfam by way of RNAcentral. Lineage: Eukaryota; Metazoa; Chordata; Mammalia; Chiroptera; Vespertilionidae.
CGUGCACCGGUGGGGUCCCUCGGCCUGGCCUGCAUCCUCUUGCAAUCCGGGACCCCUCGGGGAUGUCAGACUGCUGGUUUCAGCCCAGUCCCUGCAGGCCAGGCCGAGGGACCCCACUGAUGCACG